AGAUUGAAAAAAUGUAGACUUGGUUUUAAGUUGGAUCUAAGUGUAAAGUUCCAAUUCACAAAUAUGUUCCGGACUAUUUAUACAGUUUUGAGUUGCUUAGCUCUACGAUCCAGCAAUUCGCAGGUUGCGAAACCUCCUCAUUUGGUGAUGCUCGUAGUUGAUGAUUUAGG
This is a long non-coding RNA of Eurytemora carolleeae, 170 nucleotides long. RefSeq lists it as uncharacterized. The record is from RefSeq and is a predicted model, not a curated record. The transcript is spliced from 3 exons. Lineage: Eukaryota; Metazoa; Arthropoda; Copepoda; Calanoida; Temoridae.